UACGAAGGGGGCUAGCGUUGCUCGGAAUCACUGGGCGUAAAGGGUGCGUAGGCGGUCGGGUAAGUCUGAUGUGAAAUCUCACAGCUUAACUGUGAAACUGCAUUGGAUACUAUCCGGCUCGAGGAAUGGAGGGGAGACUGGAAUACUUGGUGUAGCAGUGAAAUGCGUAGAUAUCAAGUGGAACACCAGUGGCGAAGGCGAGUCUCUGGACAUUUCCUGACGCUGAGGCACGAAAGCCAGGGGAGCAAACGGG
This 253-nucleotide ribosomal RNA is filed under the name uncultured bacterium. Its description in RNAcentral is "partial 16S ribosomal RNA". It matches the Rfam family "Bacterial small subunit ribosomal RNA", at positions 524 to 776 of the family's 1533-position model. The record is from RNAcentral.